UAAGCAUAUCAAUAAGCGGAGGAAAAGAAACCAACCGGGAUUGCCUCAGUAACGGCGAGUGAAGCGGCAAGAGCUCAAAUUUGAAAGCUGGCCCCUUCGGGGUCCGCGUUGUAAUUUGCAGAGGAUGCUUCGGGUGCGGCCCCUGUCUAAGUGCCCUGGAACGGGCCGUCAGAGAGGGUGAGAAUCCCGUCUUGGGCAGGGUGCCCGUGCCCGUGUGAAGCUCCUUCGACGAGUCGAGUUGUUUGGGAAUGCAGCUCUAAACGGGUGGUAAAUUUCAUCUAAAGCUAAAUACCGGCCGGAGACCGAUAGCGCACAAGUAGAGUGAUCGAAAGAUGAAAAGCACUUUGAAAAGAGAGUUAAACAGCACGUGAAAUUGUUGAAAGGGAAGCGCUUGCGACCAGACUCGGCCCCGGGGUUCAGCCAGCACUCGUGCUGGUGUACUUCCCCGGGGGCGGGCCAGCGUCGGUUUGGGCGGCCGGUCAAAGGCCCCAGGAAUGUAUCGCCCUCCGGGGUUGUCUUAUAGCCUGGGGUGCAAUGCGGCCAGCCCGGACCGAGGAACGCGCUUCGGCACGGACGCUGGCGUAAUGGUCGCAAACGACCCGUCUUGAAACACGGACCAAGGAGUCUAACAUCUACGCGAGUGUUCGGGUGUCAAACCCGUACGCGCAGUGAAAGCGAACGGAGGUGGGAGCCCCCCCGGGGCGCACCAUCGACCGAUCCUGAUGUCUUCGGAUGGAUUUGAGUAAGAGCGUAGCUGUGGGGACCCGAAAGAUGGUGAACUAUGCCUGAAUAGGGCGAAGCCAGAGGAAACUCUGGUGGAGGCUCGCAGCGGUUCUGACGUGCAAAUCGAUCGUCAAAUUUGGGUAUAGGGGCGAAAGACUAAUCGAACCAUCUGGUAGCUGGUUCCUGCCGAAGUU
RNAcentral lists this ribosomal RNA (917 nucleotides) under Aspergillus nidulans. RNAcentral describes it as "LSU rRNA". It matches the Rfam family "Eukaryotic large subunit ribosomal RNA", at positions 35 to 968 of the family's 3401-position model. The record is from RNAcentral. Lineage: Eukaryota; Fungi; Ascomycota; Eurotiomycetes; Eurotiales; Aspergillaceae.